GAGUUUGAUCCUGGCUCAGAUUGAACGCUGGCGGCAGGCCUAAUACAUGCAAGUCGAACGAGAAAGCAUCUUCGGAUGUGAGUACAGUGGCGGACGGGUGAGUAAUACAUAGGAAUCUACCCAAUGGUGGGGGAUAGCUCGGGGAAACUCGAAUUAAUACCGCAUAAUCUCUACGGAGUAAAGGGGGCUUCGGCUCUCGCCAUCGGAUGAGCCUAUGCAGGAUUAGCUUGUUGGUGAGGUAAUGGCUUACCAAGGCAACGAUCCUUAGCUGGUUUGAGAGGAUGACCAGCCACAUCGGGACUGAGACACGGCCCGGACUUCUACGGAAGGCAGCAGUAGGGAAUAUUGGACAAUGAGCGAAAGCUUGAUCCAGCCAUGCCGCGUGUGUGAUGACGGCCUUCGGGUUGUAAAGCACUUUAGGUAAUGAGGAAAAAUUAGAUGUUAAUACCACCUAAUCAUGACGUUAAUUACAGAAUAAGCACCGGCUAAAUCCGUGCCAGCAGCCGCGGUAAUACGGAUGGUGCAAGCGUUAAUCGGAAUUACUGGGCGUAAAGCGCGCGUAGGUGGCACACCAAGUUAGAUGUGAAAUCCCAGGGCUUAACCUUGGAACUGCAUCUAAAACUGGUGAG
This 629-nucleotide ribosomal RNA is filed under the name uncultured bacterium. RNAcentral describes it as "bacterial SSU rRNA". It matches the Rfam family "Bacterial small subunit ribosomal RNA", at positions 9 to 640 of the family's 1533-position model. The record is from RNAcentral.